Molecule: ribosomal RNA, 620 nt
Filed under: uncultured bacterium
Lineage: Bacteria
Description: bacterial SSU rRNA
Rfam family: Bacterial small subunit ribosomal RNA
Source: RNAcentral
UUCACAUGUUCACAUGAUUAAAGGUAUUCCGGUAGACGAUGGGGAUGCGUUCCAUUAGAUAGUAGGCGGGGUAACGGCCCACCUAGUCUUCGAUGGAUAGGGGUUCUGAGAGGAAGGUCCCCCACAUUGGAACUGAGACACGGUCCAAACUCCUACGGGAGGCAGCAGUGAGGAAUAUUGGUCAAUGGGCGCAGGCCUGAACCAGCCAAGUAGCGUGAAGGAUGACUGCCCUAUGGGUUGUAAACUUCUUUUAUAAAGGAAUAAAGUCGGGUAUGUAUACCCGUUUGCAUGUACUUUAUGAAUAAGGAUCGGCUAACUCCGUGCCAGCAGCCGCGGUAAUACGGAGGAUCCGAGCGUUAUCCGGAUUUAUUGGGUUUAAAGGGAGCGUAGAUGGAUGUUUAAGUCAGUUGUGAAAGUUUGCGGCUCAACCGUAAAAUUGCAGUUGAUACUGGAUAUCUUGAGUGCAGUUGAGGCAGGCGGAAUUCGUGGUGUAGCGGUGAAAUGCUUAGAUAUCACGAAGAACUCCGAUUGCGAAGGCAGCCUGCUAAGCUGCAACUGACAUUGAGGCUCGAAAGUGUGGGUAUCAAACAGGAUUAGAUACCCUGGUAGUCCACACGGUA